AGGCAGCAGUGGGGAAUUUUGGACAAUGGGCGCAAGCCUGAUCCAGCCAUUCCGCGUGAGUGAAGAAGGCCUUCGGGUUGUAAAGCUCUUUCGCAAGGGAAGAAACGAUAGUCGCGAAUAACGACUGUUAAUGACGGUACCUUGAUAAGAAGCACCGGCUAACUACGUGCCAGCAGCCGCGGUAAUACGUAGGGUGCGAGCGUUAAUCGGAAUUACUGGGCGUAAAGCGUGCGCAGGCGGUUUUGUAAGUCAGAUGUGAAAUCCCCGAGCUCAACUUGGGAACUGCGUUUGAAACUACAAGACUAGAAUAGGUCAGAGGGGGGUAGAAUUCCACGUGUAGCAGUGAAAUGCGUAGAGAUGUGGAGGAAUAUCAAUGGCGAAGGCAGCCCCCUGGGAUCAUAUUGACGCUCAUGCACGAAAGCGUGGGGAGCAAACAGGAUUAGAUACCCUGGUAGUCCACGCCCUAAACGAUGUCAACUAGUUGUUGGUAGAGUAAAAUCUAUGAGUAACGCAGCUAACGCGUGAAGUUGACCGCCUGGGGAGUACGAUCGCAAGAUUAAAACUCAAAUGAAUUGACGG
This 579-nucleotide ribosomal RNA is filed under the name uncultured bacterium. Its description in RNAcentral is "bacterial SSU rRNA". It matches the Rfam family "Bacterial small subunit ribosomal RNA", at positions 346 to 916 of the family's 1533-position model. The record is from RNAcentral.